UUAAAUUAGAGUUUGAUCCUAGCUCAGGGUGAAUGCUGGCGGCGUGGAUGAGGCAUGCAAGUCGAGUGGGUUUAGACCCACGGCAGACGAGGUAGGAACACGUAGGUACGUACCCCAGAGUCAGGGAUAAUCUGCCGAAAGUCAGGAUAAUACUUGAUAGUCCGAGCACCUUUUUAGGUUGUCUUUACAAAUGAGUGAAGAUUGCCCGCGAGGUGAGUUACACUUUUCAAACAAGAUUACUUGAAAAGGUGCUCGGUAAAGAUUUAUCGCUCUCUGAACGGCCUGCGUUCUAUCAGCUUGUU
Molecule: ribosomal RNA, 302 nt
Filed under: Simkania sp.
Lineage: Bacteria; Pseudomonadati; Chlamydiota; Chlamydiia; Parachlamydiales; Simkaniaceae
Description: partial 16S ribosomal RNA
Rfam family: Bacterial small subunit ribosomal RNA
Source: RNAcentral